RNAcentral lists this ribosomal RNA (468 nucleotides) under uncultured bacterium. RNAcentral's name for it is "partial 16S ribosomal RNA". It matches the Rfam family "Bacterial small subunit ribosomal RNA", at positions 28 to 507 of the family's 1533-position model. The record is from RNAcentral.
GACGAACGCUGGCGGCGUGCUUAACACAUGCAGGUCGAACGGAAAGGCCCUGCUUUUGUGGGGUGCUCGAGUGGCGAACGGGUGAGUAACACGUGAGUAACCUGCCCUUGACUUUGGGAUAACUUCAGGAAACUGGGGCUAAUACCGGAUAUGAGCUCCUGCUGCAUGGUGGGGGUUGGAUAGUUUCGGCGGUUGGGGAUGGACUCGCGGCUUAUCAGCUUGUUGGUGGGGUAGUGGCUGACCAAGGCUUUGUCGGGUAGCCGACCUGUGAGGGUGACCGGCCAAAGUAGGACUGAGAUACGGCCCAGACGCGUACGGUAGGCAGCGGUGGGGAAUAUUGCACAAUGGGCGGAAGCCUGAUGCAGCAACGCCGCGUGCGGGAUGACGGCCUUCGGGUUGUGAACCGCUUUCGCCUGUGACGAAGAGUGAGUGACGGUAAUGGGUAAAGAAGCACCGGCUAACUACGUG